AGAGAAAAAAAGACCAAAUAGUCAACCUUGAUGGGUUAUGGGAUGAUUAUGCCUUGCGUGGUAUGUUGAUCAGCUUAGGUGAGUAUGUCAUCCGAUAAAUUCAUAUGAAAAAAGAGACUCCAAUGGUGCCGGACGUCUUGGUACACAUAUUGGUAUAUAGAUGUAAGUCUAAAGAAGUGCCUACUCACGUGGCAUAGAGCGAAGACCAGCUCUGGUAUGGAUUGCCUGCAGUGGUAGUGAUCCCCCACUUAUGGGAAAACAGAGGGCGGUAUUGGUCUCAGCAGCAGUCUUAUUCAACAGAGGUUAGAAACCUCAGGUAUAUAUAAAAAAUAGUGCAACAAUAGUGCUCACUGUAUAAAAUAUGUAAUAUAUGAUAAAAACCAAAAGGUUAUACUCACAUUUAACUGAGCAGACAACCUACUCGGUUAUAUAGGCGUGGGUGGUAUAAUCCCCACCAAGGAUGCGUGGUGAGGUCCUUUUUUGGAAAUGAUGGAUCAGGAUGCCAGGUUAAAAAAAAAAAAAAAAAGGAAGGAAGAAAAAAAGGGUUCAGGUACAAUAGAGUAUUAAAAUAGUAACCAACAACCUUUUAUUAUAACAAAAUAAAAUCAAGUGUUUUUUUUUAACCACUUGAAAAAGCCCACCGGGUGAAACGCGUUGUGGAUUGAUUUUAUUUUGUUAUAAUAAAAGGUUGUUGGUUACUCUUUUUAUACUCUUUUAUACCAGACCUUUUUUUCUUCCUUCCUUUUUUUACCUGGCAUCCUGAUCCAUCAUUUCAAAAAAAGGAUCUCACCAUGCAUCCUUGGUGGGGAUUAUACCACCCACACCUAUAUGGCAUAAUCAUCCCAUCACCCAUCAAGGUUGACUAUUUGGACUUUUUUUCUCUGAUAUUUUGGACAGUGUUUUUAUAGUAUAUCUUAUAUUUUGUCAUACCCACGAAGAUCUCUCAUUUUUGUUUCAUCCCUUAUCCCUUAGUGCACCCUUCUCUCUGUGUUUUGUAUAUGGAUGGUAUAAUCCCUGUUUUAGGAUUUGUAGUGUAGUAAAGCGGAAUCUAUAAUCUCCUCUUAAAAUAUCAGCUUGAAAUGUAAAGAUAAAAAAAGUAAUAUCCAAUGGUGUAGUUUAAAAGAAAUUGCCAGAGAUGGAUAUAAAAUAUUUUACUUGCAUAACCUAGAGCAAGAACCUUAAAAGUACUUUAUAAAAUAUAUACAGAUAUAGUUUAUUUAUUUUGAAAAGGCCUUUGUCAAAAUGCAUCCGGUAAACCCUUAUCUGGACUUUUACAUUAUUGGACGUGUAUUAUUCACAGAAACCCAAGCAAAGAAAGGAGGUUUUUCGUAACCAGAAUUAUUUGUGCUGGUAACAAGGUACUAUCCAGGUUUAAUGAAGGACAGUCUUAGUACAGCAAACGUUUGGGGCUUUUACCCUUUAUCAAUGCAUUGUGUCAGAAGACCUGAAUAAUAAAGGGCACAAAACGUUUGCUGCACUAAGACUGUCCUUCAUUAAACCUGGAUCGCACCUUGGUACCAGCACAAAUAAUUCUAUCUGCUUGUGUUUCUGGAUUUCUAGACUUGGGGGGGUGCUUGCUGCACAGUUAAUUUCUUAUGAUUUCUUGUCAAGUAUUUUGUUUUAUUGUGCCUCACUUGUAUUAUUCGAUUGGUUUUUAUUUUAUAAAUUUAUGUUUGUUUUGC
This is a non-coding RNA of Pelobates cultripes (western spadefoot toad), 1682 nucleotides long. The record is from the annotation of a GenBank genome assembly. Lineage: Eukaryota; Metazoa; Chordata; Amphibia; Anura; Pelobatidae.